GAUGAACGCUGGCGGCGUGCUUAACACAUGCAAGUCGAACGGUAAGGUCCUUCGGGGUACACGAGUGGCGAACGGGUGAGUAACACGUGGGUGAUCUGCCCUGCACUUCGGGAUAAGCCUGGGAAACUGGGUCUAAUACCGGAUAGGACCACUGCCUGCAUGGGUGGUGGUGGAAAGCUUUUGCGGUGUGGGAUGGGCCCGCGGCCUAUCAGCUUGUUGGUGGGGUGAUGGCCUACCAAGGCGACGACGGGUAGCCGGCCGGAGAGGGUGACCGGCAAAGCUGGGACGGAGAUCCGGCCCAGACUACUAGGGGAGGCAGCAGGGGGGAAUAUUGAACAAGGGGCGAAAGCCUGAUGCAGCGACGCCGCGUGAGGGAGGACGGCCUUCGGGUUGUAAACCUCUUUCAGCAUCGACGAAGCGAAAGUGACGGUAGGUGCAGAAGAAGGACCGGCCAACUACGUGCCAGCCGCCGCGGUAA
RNAcentral lists this ribosomal RNA (478 nucleotides) under uncultured bacterium. RNAcentral describes it as "partial 16S ribosomal RNA". It matches the Rfam family "Bacterial small subunit ribosomal RNA", at positions 28 to 523 of the family's 1533-position model. The record is from RNAcentral.